RNAcentral lists this ribosomal RNA (1343 nucleotides) under uncultured bacterium. RNAcentral describes it as "16S ribosomal RNA". It matches the Rfam family "Bacterial small subunit ribosomal RNA", at positions 28 to 1378 of the family's 1533-position model. The record is from RNAcentral.
GACGAACGCUGGCGGCGUGCUUAACACAUGCAAGUCGAACGGAAAGGCCCUGCUUUUGUGGGGUGCUCGAGUGGCGAACGGGUGAGUAACACGUGAGUAACCUGCCCUUGACUUUGGGAUAACUUCAGGAAACUGGGGCUAAUACCGGAUAGGAGCUCCUGCUGCAUGGUGGGGGUUGGAAAGUUUCGGCGGUUGGGGAUGGACUCGCGGCUUAUCAGCUUGUUGGUGGGGUAGUGGCUUACCAAGGCUUUGACGGGUAGCCGGCCUGAGAGGGUGACCGGCCACAUUGGGACUGAGAUACGGCCCAGACUCCUACGGGAGGCAGCAGUGGGGAAUAUUGCACAAUGGGCGGAAGCCUGAUGCAGCAACGCCGCGUGCGGGAUGACGGCCUUCGGGUUGUAAACCGCUUUCGCCUGUGACGAAGCGUGAGUGACGGUAAUGGGUAAAGAAGCACCGGCUAACUACGUGCCAGCAGCCGCGGUGAUACGUAGGGUGCGAGCGUUGUCCGGAUUUAUUGGGCGUAAAGGGCUCGUAGGUGGUUGAUCGCGUCGGAAGUGUAAUCUUGGGGCUUAACCCUGAGCGUGCUUUCGAUACGGGUUGACUUGAGGAAGGUAGGGGAGAAUGGAAUUCCUGGUGGAGCGGUGGAAUGCGCAGAUAUCAGGAGGAACACCAGUGGCGAAGGCGGUUCUCUGGGCCUUUCCUGACGCUGAGGAGCGAAAGCGUGGGGAGCGAACAGGCUUAGAUACCCUGGUAGUCCACGCUGUAAACGGUGGGUACUAGGUGUGGGGUCCAUUCCACGGGUUCCGUGCCGUAGCUAACGCUUUAAGUACCCCGCCUGGGGAGUACGGCCGCAAGGCUAAAACUCAAAGGAAUUGACGGGGCCCCGCACAAGCGGCGGAGCAUGCGGAUUAAUUCGAUGCAACGCGUAGAACCUUACCUGGGUUUGACAUGGAUCGGGAGCGCUCAGAGAUGGGUGUGCCUCUUUUGGGGUCGGUUCACAGGUGGUGCAUGGCUGUCGUCAGCUCGUGUCGUGAGAUGUUGGGUUAAGUCCCGCAACGAGCGCAACCCUUGUUCACUGUUGCCAGCACGUUAUGGUGGGGACUCAGUGGAGACCGCCGGGGUCAACUCGGAGGAAGGUGGGGAUGACGUCAAGUCAUCAUGCCCCUUAUGUCCAGGGCUUCACGCAUGCUACAAUGGCUGGUACAGAGAGUGGCGAGCCUGUGAGGGUGAGCGAAUCUCGGAAAGCCGGUCUCAGUUCGGAUUGGGGUCUGCAACUCGACCUCAUGAAGUCGGAGUCGCUAGUAAUCGCAGAUCAGCAACGCUGCGGUGAAUAAAUUCCCGGG